RNAcentral lists this transfer RNA (87 nucleotides) under bacterium. Its description in RNAcentral is "tRNA-Tyr". It matches the Rfam family "tRNA". From Rfam's summary of the family: Transfer RNA (tRNA) molecules are approximately 80 nucleotides in length. Their secondary structure includes four short double-helical elements and three loops (D, anti-codon, and T loops). The record is from RNAcentral.
CCAGGGGUGGCGGAGUGGACAAACGCACCUGGCUGUAAACCAGGCGCCCUCGUGGCUGCGCAGGUUCGAAUCCUGCCCCCUGGACAA